AAUAGAUACCCCGGUAGUCCACGCCGUAAACGAUGAGUGCUAAGUGUUGGGGGGUUUCCGCCCCUCAGUGCUGCAGCUAACGCAUUAAGCACUCCGCCUGGGGAGUACGGUCGCAAGACUGAAACUCAAAGGAAUUGACGGGGGCCCGCACAAGCGGUGGAGCAUGUGGUUUAAUUCGAAGCAACGCGAAGAACCUUACCAGGUCUUGACAUCCCGGUGACCACUAUGGAGACAUAGUUUCCCCUUCGGGGGCAACGGUGACAGGUGGUGCAUGGUUGUCGUCAGCUCGUGUCGUGAGAUGUUGGGUUAAGUCCCGCAACGAGCGCAACCCUUAUUCUUAGUUGCCAUCAUUCAGUUGGGCACUCUAAGGAGACUGCCGGUGAUAAACCGGAGGAAGGUGGGGAUGACGUCAAAUCAUCAUGCCCCUUAUGACCUGGGCUACACACGUGCUACAAUGGACGGUACAAACGGUUGCCAACCCGCGAGGGGAGCUAAUCCGAUAAAGCCGUUCUCAGUUCGGAUUGUAGGCUGCAACUCGCCUAC
RNAcentral lists this ribosomal RNA (543 nucleotides) under uncultured bacterium. RNAcentral's name for it is "bacterial SSU rRNA". It matches the Rfam family "Bacterial small subunit ribosomal RNA", at positions 777 to 1319 of the family's 1533-position model. The record is from RNAcentral.